GCCCUCCGCCAUUUUGGUCAAGGCUCAAGGCCAUGGCCAAUUUGUUUUUAUACGUAUUCGUAUUUCGGUAGUGCGCGUUACUUAUUCCGUCUCUAAGAAUAAAUAUGAUUUUGAUUAGAGUCCCUUUAUAACACAGGUGUUAUAAAGGGACUCUAAUUUUGAUGUGAUUGAUGAAUGUGAUUCUAACUCUAACCUAAAGUUUAUUAUUAUUUCUGUGUCUGUGCUUAUCAAACUCUAGUAAUGUACACGCAAGUGGAGAAACUUUUGUCGCGAAUAGGAUUACCAGGGCUGCUGGACAAAUUUAAAGAAUCAUUCUUAGAUGAUGAAGCUCUUCGAUGCGUAACAUGUAAGGAGGAUUUAUCAGGCAUUGUACCCAUGGGACUGGCUCUCCGAUUCUUUGACGCUUUGAAAAAAGACAGAGAUGACCCUCAGGGAUCGGGAUCAACCCUCGAUUCUCUCAACUCUAGCUCACUUGAAAUCGUUGCCACUCUCUCUCAAUCUCCUUCCUCUUCUCCUGUUACUAUUUUCAACUCCACUUCCGCUGAUAACCUAAUUUCCCCAGAUUUCCAUGUGCCCAUCUGUGACUUAACUCAAGUUGUCGUUGAAAACAUUGUAGGGACUGAAGCCUUCGCAAAUUCUCCUACUCCUGCUCCUGCGCCUACUCCUACCCUCACACCUCUUCCUUCUUCUAUCCCUGAUCCUCUCACUCCCUCUCAGAAUAUUCAAUCCACCUCUCCCC
RNAcentral lists this long non-coding RNA (739 nucleotides) under Bemisia tabaci. Its description in RNAcentral is "lncRNA ENSSSA3NGG008804". The record is from RNAcentral. Lineage: Eukaryota; Metazoa; Arthropoda; Insecta; Hemiptera; Aleyrodidae.